RNAcentral lists this ribosomal RNA (248 nucleotides) under uncultured Leptotrichia sp. Its description in RNAcentral is "partial 16S ribosomal RNA". It matches the Rfam family "Bacterial small subunit ribosomal RNA", at positions 107 to 354 of the family's 1533-position model. Lineage: Bacteria; Fusobacteriati; Fusobacteriota; Fusobacteriia; Fusobacteriales; Leptotrichiaceae. The record is from RNAcentral.
UGAGUAACGCGUAAAGAACUUGCCCUUUAGACUGGGAUAACAGAGGGAAACUUCUGAUAAUACUGGAUAAGUUAGUAUAUCGCAUGAUAUGCAAAUGAAAGCUACGGCACUAAAGGAGAGCUUUGCGUCCUAUUAGCUAGUUGGUAAGGUAAGAGCUUACCAAGGCGAUGAUAGGUAGCCGGCCUGAGAGGGUGGACGGCCACAAGGGGACUGAGAUACGGCCCUUACUCCUACGGGAGGCAGCAGGC